Long non-coding RNA from Solenopsis invicta (red fire ant), 1169 nucleotides. RefSeq lists it as uncharacterized. The transcript is spliced from 4 exons. NCBI's taxonomy places the organism in Eukaryota, Metazoa, Arthropoda, Insecta, Hymenoptera, Formicidae. The record is from RefSeq and is a predicted model, not a curated record.
GACUUUACGCCGUUCAAACAGCAACGAUCAGUCGGUCGGUCGGUCGAGCGGGAUAGUGCGAACUGCGAAGUCGUGGAGACGUCGUGGCGAGUUUCAACUCGCAUCCUCGUCGUCCCGUACAGAAAGUGAAGUGAAGUGUUGGGCGUUCGUGCCAACUGCGUGUCGUGUGUGGCCGUCGUGUUGCUUCAACCGUCGAUCGUGUCGCGUUCACUCGUGUUUCGCAUCUUCUCCGUUGCCUCGUAUCCCGAGUUUUCGACGCGCAUAAGUACUGGAUAUGCCGAAAACGAAGUGUCGCGCGUUCGUGCCAAGUGUGAAUCGAGAGGAAGAGGAUCGACGUGAGAAGGAUCUUGGAUUUGGAACGUUCGAGAGCUGCGGCUGAGACGGAGCUGGACGGAGCGACCAGCGGCGAACGCGGACCGGUGCAAGGGCAAUUGAUGAUGAAUGCAACGGAAUGGAAUGGCAUCGGGUGAUCGUCCGCUCUCGCGAAGGAAUGGAUGAAGGGACGGUGGACUCGUCGUCUUCGUGUCCGAGGACCGAAUCUCGUGGUUAGUUUCGUGGAUUUCCCGAUCAGGGUCGAGAUGAGAAAUACUGAGAGAAAGAGAGAGAGAGAGAGAGAGGCGCCGUACUUGAUCGAGGAAGAGCAGCUCCGCGUGAUUCUGGAUCUGGUAGCCCAUGUCGAGCAGCUCCUGUACGUCGCGAGUGAACGCUGCGUCGGCCUUCGACGGUAGGGCCAGGAUGUCGUUGCCGAGGGUCGAGCUGAACGCGGUCAGAGCAUCCUCCCAGCAGUAAAGGGCCUUUUCCAGCGCCUCGAGUCCUGUCAACAAGAACGGCGUCAGUUUAUCUCGGCGGAGAGGGAGGAUUGGGCGCGGUUAUAUCAGAACAAAAAUAAGCCGAAAACGUAGCACUCUCUUUCCAGACGUAAUAAAGUAAUCUGAGAACUUUAGGGGAGAGAAAGUUGACAAAGGCGAAGCGUAAGAAUCCACUCGUCAAUCUAAUCGUGAUAAACGCAAUUACAUAUUAUUUCAUGGAUUUCGAGUCCAGUUUCCAGCCAGCCGGAAGGAUAUACACCUUUCCCCUCGUAUCGCGCGUAGGUAAUUACGCUUUUUUUUUCUAGAAAAUCAACGAGUCUGAAAUUAAUAUCGACCUGUACGCGCGGGCGACUAACGGUA